UAUUCUUGAACUGAUUUCCUGAAAAUAUUUGACACAAUACGAUGUCAUAAUUUGAAAUUUUAAUGAAAGGAAGAGACGCCAAUAUAAUUGUUUGUUGUGGCCGAGAUGUUUUAAGAACAUUCAAGCAACAAAGACACUUUCACAUAAUUAUAAAUUGAAGCCCCAAUUAUAAACUAAAAGAAAUUGUUCAUCCAAAGCCAUACCUGAUGCAUUACUUGUUUCAAACAAAUUGUUAUUUUAACAGUUAUUUAUCCAAGCC
RNAcentral lists this long non-coding RNA (259 nucleotides) under Mytilus galloprovincialis (Mediterranean mussel). The record is from RNAcentral. Lineage: Eukaryota; Metazoa; Mollusca; Bivalvia; Mytilida; Mytilidae.